This 684-nucleotide ribosomal RNA is filed under the name Inonotus nidus-pici. Its description in RNAcentral is "eukaryotic LSU rRNA". Lineage: Eukaryota; Fungi; Basidiomycota; Agaricomycetes; Hymenochaetales; Hymenochaetaceae. The record is from RNAcentral.
AAGGAUCAUUAUCGAAUUUUGAAGGCGAAAGGUCUGUGCUGGUGCGGAAACGCGCAUGUGCACGGCUUUUCGUGAUCAAAUCCAAUCAACCCCCUGUGCACCUAAAGAGUCGGAGGUCAGUAGCCUCUGUAAUCGAACUGCUUGUAGUAUGUCCGCAGACAGAAGAGAGCUCUUCGGGGAGGGAGGUGAAAGCUUUUGGCUAAUUUAUAGACACCUAUUGUUUGUUAUGUGAAUGUAAUGCUCCUUGUGGGCGAUAAUGAAAUACAACUUUCAACAACGGAUCUCUUGGCUCUCGCAUCGAUGAAGAACGCAGCGAAAUGCGAUAAGUAAUGUGAAUUGCAGAAUUCAGUGAAUCAUCGAAUCUUUGAACGCACCUUGCGCCCCUUGGUAUUCCGAGGGGCAUGCCUGUUUGAGUGUCAUGUUAAUCUCAAAUCACUUGUCUAUUCUUGACCGAAUGGAGUAGUGGUUUGGACUUGGAGGUCUUUGCUGGCCCGGGCGGUUUGAUUGCCCUUGGUUUGUCGGCUCCUCUCAAAUGCAUUAGCUGGRCUUUGGUUCGCGUUUACGGUGUAAUAAUAUUCGUUUCACUAAGACGCUUGCCUAGACGGUCUGCUUCUAAUCGUCCUUAAGUUGGACAAGGAUCCGUGAGUGGCCUUUCUUGACACCUUUGACCUCAAAUCAGGUAGG